GACGAACGCUGGCGGCGUGCUUAACACAUGCAAGUCGAGCGGUAAGGCCCUUUCGGGGUACGACGAGCGGCGAACGGGUGAGUAACACGUGGGUGACCUGCCUUUAGUCUCUGGGAUAAGCCUGGGAAACUGGGUCUAAUACCGGAUAUGACUCCAUGAUGCAUGUUGUGGGGUGGAAAGCCUUGUGCGGCUGGAGAUGGGCCCGCGGCCUAUCAGCUUGUUGGUGGGGUGANGG
RNAcentral lists this ribosomal RNA (235 nucleotides) under uncultured bacterium. Its description in RNAcentral is "partial 16S ribosomal RNA". It matches the Rfam family "Bacterial small subunit ribosomal RNA", at positions 28 to 263 of the family's 1533-position model. The record is from RNAcentral.